CCUCGGUGACCCACGACCAACCGUCGUCGAUUGGCGACCCACGAGCUGCCGUCGCCAAACCCUGGCGACCAACACGUAGCCGUCGCCGAACCCCAGCGAUUCACGACAAGCCAUCGCCGACCCCUGGCGACCCACGAGUAGCCAUCGUCGAGCCCCAACGACUCAGAUCUGGCAACGUUCGAGUCUCCCGGCAUUGCCUAACUCUGUGAUUGCUGUCGCUCAACCUUGGUGACUAGAUCUAGCACUGUGUAAUCCAUUCCAACGUCGUUGGACCUAGCUCACCUCAAAUCCGGCGAUGUCCGACCGAGAUUGAACUUGAAUACGCAAGGAAAUCUCGUCUUCUCCAUAAAUAUCACUGUUGCUUGGAUUUUAUGGCUCCUACAGAGGAUAAAGUUGCUGCUCCUCUCCUUGAAAGUGACGUAUUCUUCAUUUUCCAUUGAAAUUCUUUUUGCUGCUGACUUAAGUAUUUAUGUGCGCGAUAUUACAUUGAAUCGAAGGAAACAGUGAGAAUAGCUUGCUGGUGGUUUGGUAAUUUAUGUUAUUAACCACAGAUAGAUGGAAUGAUUUCAUGAAGUGUCGGUGAACUGCUGGUGGCAAUUGGAUUGAGUCCUUUUAUGUUCGGAAUUACUUGUGUAUUUGAUUGGAUUACCGAAUUGAAGUGCUGGUUACUGUGAAGUUAAUUUUUUGGGCUCAAUCACACUAUUUCUUUCACUAAUGGCGAACAGUGGAUCGACUUCAGGAUCAGGAUCCCCUUUUGGUCAUUUUCAAUUAACAUUUGUUAAGUUGGAUGGAACUAAUUAUCCAUCCUGGUCUAAAGCUAUUGAGGUCUAUCUUACUGCCACCAGGUAACUUGACUAUCUCACAUCUAUGGUACCAUCCGAUAAGAGUAAAGCUGCUGAUUGGGUUGCAGGAGAUGCGAUGAUUCAGACUCUAUUGUGGAAUAGCAUGGAUCCUAAGGUCAGUCCUCACUUUAUUCAGUGUGACUCUGCUAAGGCAGUUUGGGAUAAAUGUGCAUUACUCUAUUCGGGGCAAAAUAAUAUGAUGCGAGUAUGUGACACGUGGGAAAAGCUGUUUGAUAUUCAGUGUGGAGAUCAAUCUUUAUCCGAUCAUUAUGCUCGGUUCACGACCCUUUGCCAGCGACUGGAUACUUAUCUUCCUGCCUCGAAUGAUCCAGAUGUUUUGGCCAAACGCCAAGAGGAUUUGAGGGUAAUAUUAUAUCUUAAAUCAUUGGGGCCCGAGUAUUCAUCUCUCCGUCAACAUAUUACAUCUUAGAGUUCUCUUCCUACAGUGGAUGAAGUCUUCUCCCAGGCUCUCCGUUCCACAAUUCCUGAGAAGAUUUCUUCCACGCCGGCUGUGGAGAUGAGUGCUAUGCUUUCCCAUGGUCCUAGCGGACGUGGAGGUCGAGGUCAUGGACACGGUUUUGUUCAUAGUGGAGGUCGUGGAGGCCGUGAUGGGGGAGUUGGUACUCGUGGUACCAUGAAUUCUGGGAAUAGUCGUGGCUCACGCUAUUGCCAUCAUUGUCAAAGAGCUGGACAUACAGAAGCUUAUUGCUAUACACUUCACCCAGAACUCAGACCACCCCUGGCUGCAUAUGCAGAAGUUGAGGAUUCUCUUGUUGCUCCCUCAACAGGUCCACCAAGUUCGACUAAUGUGAAGGAUACAGGCGAUUCAGUUACAUUAACACGUGCUGAGUAUGAUACAUUGGUUCGCUCUCAACAGGUGACAGGAUCUUCAGCUCCUACUGCAACUCUAGCACAAACCUCCAAAGGUAGUUCAUCUUGUUUGUUGUCUGCAGCAUCUGACUCCUGAGUUAUAGACUCUGGAGCUACUAAUCACAUGACUGGAUUUGAGGACUGGACAGAUGAUUGGUGGGGGACAUGAAUCAAAUGGCCUGUACUAUCUUGAUAAGAAGGUGUUAGCUGCUGCAGCUGUAAAGCGUACAUCCACUGAUGUAUAUCGAAUGCAUUGUCGUGCUGGUCAUCCACCACCGAACAUACUUCGGCGUCUAUUUCCUGAGUCUGAGUCUGUGAGUUCCUUUCAGUGUAGAGUGUGUCAGUUUGGUAAACAUCAUAGAACUUCUUUUCCUUCCCGUAUUCAGAGUCGUGUGUCUAGUCCAUUUGAACUGGUUCACUUAGAUGUAUGGGGUCCGUGUCGUGUGUCUGAUGUCUUUGGAUUCAGAUAUUUUGUUACAUUCGUGGAUGAUUUUUCCCGAAUGACUUGGUUAUUCCUAAUAAAAAACCGUACAUAGAUUUUUCAUUGCUUUCAAUUGUUCUAUUUUGAAGUAUUGAAUCAAUAUAAUAUCUCUGUCAAAUAUUUACGGUCAGAUAAUGCUAGAGAAUAUCUUGCUGCAACUUCUGGUUUCCUGCCAUUUCUUGAGUCCCAUGGUAUUAUUCAUCAGACUUCUUGCUCAUACACUCCCCAGCAAAAU
This is an RNA transcript of Syzygium oleosum, 2428 nucleotides long. RefSeq lists it as uncharacterized. The transcript is spliced from 2 exons. Lineage: Eukaryota; Viridiplantae; Streptophyta; Magnoliopsida; Myrtales; Myrtaceae. The record is from RefSeq and is a predicted model, not a curated record.